AUGGAGGCUAAGAAACUGUCGUUGAAUGACUCCCCAGAUAGAAUCUUGUGGGAUUUUGAUAGUAAAGGGAAGUUUACUACUAAAUCCUUAUAUGUAUGGUUGGAAAGAAAUCUUUCAGGUCCUAACUAUAGGAUGGUAUGGAAAGCACCUAUUCCGCUAAAAAUUAAGAUUUUCCUUUGGCAGCUGUUUCAGAACGCAGUUCUCACUCGUGAUAAUAUGCGCAUUAGAAACUGGCCUGGAAAUCCUGUGUGCUCCUUCUGUAAUGAAGUCGAGACAGCAAAUCAUUUGUUCUUUACCUGGUCGCUUGCUCGGUCGGUUUAG
Molecule: ribosomal RNA, 321 nt
Filed under: Triticum aestivum (bread wheat)
Lineage: Eukaryota; Viridiplantae; Streptophyta; Magnoliopsida; Poales; Poaceae
Description: partial small subunit ribosomal RNA
Source: RNAcentral